Molecule: ribosomal RNA, 253 nt
Filed under: uncultured bacterium
Lineage: Bacteria
Description: partial 16S ribosomal RNA
Rfam family: Bacterial small subunit ribosomal RNA
Source: RNAcentral
GACAGAGGGUGCAAACGUUGUUCGGAAUUACUGGGCGUAAAGCGCGCGUAGGCAGCUGCGUGUGUCGGGCGUGAAAUCCCACGGCUCAACCGUGGAAGUGCACUCGAAACUGCGCAGCUAGAGUCUCGGAGAGGAAGGCGGAAUGCUUGGUGUAGAGGUGAAAUUCGUAGAUAUCAAGCGGAACACCGGUGGCGAAGGCGGCCUUCUGGACGAUGACUGACGCUGAAGCGCGAAAGCGUGGGGAGCAAACAGG